This is a long non-coding RNA of Aedes aegypti (yellow fever mosquito), 694 nucleotides long. RefSeq lists it as uncharacterized. Lineage: Eukaryota; Metazoa; Arthropoda; Insecta; Diptera; Culicidae. The transcript has 2 exons. The record is from RefSeq and is a predicted model, not a curated record.
GUGAUACAGUUUCCCACUCAUUCGGUGAUGGCUUCUCCUCGUCGAUGUCAUCCACGCUAGGCUUGGGCCGUUUGUUAGUCGUCGCGACACUUUGAACGGUUUCGGUUGUAAUUUCUCUCGCGCUCUCGCUUGCAGCAACCAAAGCAAGAAAAGGAAAAUCGUGCAAAUCACAAUAUUCGGGGAAAAUAUUUGGUGGGACCAAUUUUGUUGAGGUGAUUUUUCAUCCGGAAAAUAAGUGUUUUCUUUCUGGGGUUAUUUGACAGUGACGCAGUGCUUCUUGAGAAGAAGUGCCCUUAUAGUUGGGGAAGAAAUGUUUUAAGAAGAAGAGGAGCAAAUCUAUUUAUAAAACAAUUUCCAAUUUGUGUGAGAGUUUCCACGCGCUUUUCUCCGCACUCUGCGCCUUCGUUCCGCUCCGGGUUUUGUGCUGUUUUGUUGAUGUUGUUGAGCUGCUGCUGCUGAAUUGCCGUUUUCGAAUGUCAUUGAUGAUGCCGCCACGGCACUGUUUCGGGAGAGAGAAAUAUAUGGAAAUCAGUCUGGAUGGCAAAACAUGAUAUCAAAAACGAUAUGAGUCGUCUUGUGGGCAUAAUGCCAAGAUUCGGUGGACGAUUUGGGGAAAGAAUUCAUACUUUUGUGCUAAAAUUUUCACGGCUUAGGUUGUUUAUACAAUAUUCAUACUAAUUUUACAUUACAAAAU